This 2912-nucleotide ribosomal RNA is filed under the name Staphylococcus aureus. RNAcentral describes it as "partial 23S ribosomal RNA". It matches the Rfam family "Bacterial large subunit ribosomal RNA". The record is from RNAcentral. Lineage: Bacteria; Bacillati; Bacillota; Bacilli; Caryophanales; Staphylococcaceae.
UAAGGGCGCACGGUGGAUGCCUUGGCACUAGAAGCCGAUGAAGGACGUUACUAACGACGAUAUGCUUUGGGGAGCUGUAAGUAAGCUUUGAUCCAGAGAUUUCCGAAUGGGGAAACCCAGCAUGAGUUAUGUCAUGUUAUCGAUAUGUGAAUACAUAGCAUAUCAGAAGGCACACCCGGAGAACUGAAACAUCUUAGUACCCGGAGGAAGAGAAAGAAAAUUCGAUUCCCUUAGUAGCGGCGAGCGAAACGGGAAGAGCCCAAACCAACAAGCUUGCUUGUUGGGGUUGUAGGACACUCUAUACGGAGUUACAAAGGACGACAUUAGACGAAUCAUCUGGAAAGAUGAAUCAAAGAAGGUAAUAAUCCUGUAGUCGAAAAUGUUGUCUCUCUUGAGUGGAUCCUGAGUACGACGGAGCACGUGAAAUUCCGUCGGAAUCUGGGAGGACCAUCUCCUAAGGCUAAAUACUCUCUAGUGACCGAUAGUGAACCAGUACCGUGAGGGAAAGGUGAAAAGCACCCCGGAAGGGGAGUGAAAUAGAACCUGAAACCGUGUGCUUACAAGUAGUCAGAGCCCGUUAAUGGGUGAUGGCGUGCCUUUUGUAGAAUGAACCGGCGAGUUACGAUUUGAUGCAAGGUUAAGCAGUAAAUGUGGAGCCGUAGCGAAAGCGAGUCUGAAUAGGGCGUUUAGUAUUUGGUCGUAGACCCGAAACCAGGUGAUCUACCCUUGGUCAGGUUGAAGUUCAGGUAACACUGAAUGGAGGACCGAACCGACUUACGUUGAAAAGUGAGCGGAUGAACUGAGGGUAGCGGAGAAAUUCCAAUCGAACCUGGAGAUAGCUGGUUCUCUCCGAAAUAGCUUUAGGGCUAGCCUCAAGUGAUGAUUAUUGGAGGUAGAGCACUGUUUGGACGAGGGGCCCCUCUCGGGUUACCGAAUUCAGACAAACUCCGAAUGCCAAUUAAUUUAACUUGGGAGUCAGAACAUGGGUGAUAAGGUCCGUGUUCGAAAGGGAAACAGCCCAGACCACCAGCUAAGGUCCCAAAAUAUAUGUUAAGUGGAAAAGGAUGUGGCGUUGCCCAGACAACUAGGAUGUUGGCUUAGAAGCAGCCAUCAUUUAAAGAGUGCGUAAUAGCUCACUAGUCGAGUGACACUGCGCCGAAAAUGUACCGGGGCUAAACAUAUUACCGAAGCUGUGGAUUGUCCUUUGGACAAUGGUAGGAGAGCGUUCUAAGGGCGUUGAAGCAUGAUCGUAAGGACAUGUGGAGCGCUUAGAAGUGAGAAUGCCGGUGUGAGUAGCGAAAGACGGGUGAGAAUCCCGUCCACCGAUUGACUAAGGUUUCCAGAGGAAGGCUCGUCCGCUCUGGGUUAGUCGGGUCCUAAGCUGAGGCCGACAGGCGUAGGCGAUGGAUAACAGGUUGAUAUUCCUGUACCACCUAUAAUCGUUUUAAUCGAUGGGGGGACGCAGUAGGAUAGGCGAAGCGUGCGAUUGGAUUGCACGUCUAAGCAGUAAGGCUGAGUAUUAGGCAAAUCCGGUACUCGUUAAGGCUGAGCUGUGAUGGGGAGAAGACAUUGUGUCUUCGAGUCGUUGAUUUCACACUGCCGAGAAAAGCCUCUAGAUAGAAAAUAGGUGCCCGUACCGCAAACCGACACAGGUAGUCAAGAUGAGAAUUCUAAGGUGAGCGAGUGAACUCUCGUUAAGGAACUCGGCAAAAUGACCCCGUAACUUCGGGAGAAGGGGUGCUCUUUAGGGUUAACGCCCAGAAGAGCCGCAGUGAAUAGGCCCAAGCGACUGUUUAUCAAAAACACAGGUCUCUGCUAAACCGUAAGGUGAUGUAUAGGGGCUGACGCCUGCCCGGUGCUGGAAGGUUAAGAGGAGUGGUUAGCUUCUGCGAAGCUACGAAUCGAAGCCCCAGUAAACGGCGGCCGUAACUAUAACGGUCCUAAGGUAGCGAAAUUCCUUGUCGGGUAAGUUCCGACCCGCACGAAAGGCGUAACGAUUUGGGCACUGUCUCAACGAGAGACUCGGUGAAAUCAUAGUACCUGUGAAGAUGCAGGUUACCCGCGACAGGACGGAAAGACCCCGUGGAGCUUUACUGUAGCCUGAUAUUGAAAUUCGGCACAGCUUGUACAGGAUAGGUAGGAGCCUUUGAAACGUGAGCGCUAGCUUACGUGGAGGCGCUGGUGGGAUACUACCCUAGCUGUGUUGGCUUUCUAACCCGCACCACUUAUCGUGGUGGGAGACAGUGUCAGGCGGGCAGUUUGACUGGGGCGGUCGCCUCCUAAAAGGUAACGGAGGCGCUCAAAGGUUCCCUCAGAAUGGUUGGAAAUCAUUCAUAGAGUGUAAAGGCAUAAGGGAGCUUGACUGCGAGACCUACAAGUCGAGCAGGGUCGAAAGACGGACUUAGUGAUCCGGUGGUUCCGCAUGGAAGGGCCAUCGCUCAACGGAUAAAAGCUACCCCGGGGAUAACAGGCUUAUCUCCCCCAAGAGUUCACAUCGACGGGGAGGUUUGGCACCUCGAUGUCGGCUCAUCGCAUCCUGGGGCUGUAGUCGGUCCCAAGGGUUGGGCUGUUCGCCCAUUAAAGCGGUACGCGAGCUGGGUUCAGAACGUCGUGAGACAGUUCGGUCCCUAUCCGUCGUGGGCGUAGGAAAUUUGAGAGGAGCUGUCCUUAGUACGAGAGGACCGGGAUGGACAUACCUCUGGUGUACCAGUUGUCGUGCCAACGGCAUAGCUGGGUAGCUAUGUGUGGACGGGAUAAGUGCUGAAAGCAUCUAAGCAUGAAGCCCCCCUCAAGAUGAGAUUUCCCAACUUCGGUUAUAAGAUCCCUCAAAGAUGAUGAGGUUAAUAGGUUCGAGGUGGAAGCAUGGUGACAUGUGGAGCUGACGAAUACUAAUCGAUCGAAGACUUAAUCAA